This 71-nucleotide transfer RNA is filed under the name Ignavibacteriae bacterium HGW-Ignavibacteriae-1. RNAcentral describes it as "tRNA-Cys". It matches the Rfam family "tRNA". From Rfam's summary of the family: Transfer RNA (tRNA) molecules are approximately 80 nucleotides in length. The record is from RNAcentral. Lineage: Bacteria; Pseudomonadati; Ignavibacteriota. RNAcentral also lists the same sequence under 2 other names.
GGUGACGUGGCCGAGUGGCUAGGCUGCGGUCUGCAAAACCGCCUACGGAGGUUCGACUCCUCUCGUCACCU